RNAcentral lists this long non-coding RNA (322 nucleotides) under Homo sapiens (human). Its description in RNAcentral is "non-protein coding lnc-WNT3-3:1". The record is from RNAcentral. Lineage: Eukaryota; Metazoa; Chordata; Mammalia; Primates; Hominidae.
UUCCCCCAAGGAAAACCAAAAAUUCUAAUAUAAAUUUGUUAUACUGCUGAAGCAGAAAUAAUUUUUAUAAUUUUAAGAGUGCACGGAUGAUCCGGACAGUGAAUCAUGAAUUAAAACAAUUUUGAAUAAGCUUGUAUGGACACUUAUUUUUAUACUCCCUAGCUUUCUACUCAUCUGAAACUCUACCUUGAAAGGCUUCAACAAUUUGAAGAUUAAAUAAUAAGUUAUUAAACCAUUAAUUUAACCAUUUAAGCCUCUAAAAUCAGCACAUAUUACCUUCCCCCUUCAAGUCAAUUUGCAAGAGAUUAAAAUAAUAAAAAUG